UACAGAGGGUGCGAGCGUUAAUCGGAAUUACUGGGCGUAAAGCGUGCGUAGACGGUCAUGUAAGUCGGAUGUGAAAGCCCCGGGCUCAACCUGGGAAUUGCAUUCGAGACUGCAUGGCUUGGGUGCGGAAGAGGGAAGCGGAAUUUCCGGUGUAGCGGUGAAAUGCGUAGAUAUCGGAAGGAACACCAGUGGCGAAGGCGACCACCUGGACUGAUACUGACACUGAGGUGCGAAAGCGUGGGGAGCAAACAGG
Molecule: ribosomal RNA, 253 nt
Filed under: uncultured bacterium
Lineage: Bacteria
Description: partial 16S ribosomal RNA
Rfam family: Bacterial small subunit ribosomal RNA
Source: RNAcentral